CGUAGGUGGCAAGCGAUACUCGGAAUCACUAGGCGUAAAGCGCAGGUAGGCGGCUGGGUAAGUCUUUUGUGAAAGCUCCUGGCUUAACUGGGAGAGGUCAAAGGAAACUACUCGGCUAGAGUUUGGUAGGGGAUACUGGAAUUCCUGGUGUAGUGGUGAAAUGCGUAGAUAUCAGGAGGAAUACCUAUGGCGAAAGCAGGUAUCUGGGCCACAACUGACGCUGAGCUGCGAAAGCUAGGGGAGCAAACAGGAUUAGAUACCCUGGUAGUCCUAGCCCUAAACGAUGCUCAUUAGAUGUGGGAGGUAUCGACCCCUUCCGCGUCGCAGCUAACGCAUUAAAUGAGCCGCCUGGGGAGUACGGCCGCAAGGUUG
This 372-nucleotide ribosomal RNA is filed under the name uncultured organism. RNAcentral describes it as "bacterial SSU rRNA". It matches the Rfam family "Bacterial small subunit ribosomal RNA", at positions 526 to 896 of the family's 1533-position model. The record is from RNAcentral.